Molecule: ribosomal RNA, 685 nt
Filed under: uncultured Glomeromycotina
Lineage: Eukaryota; Fungi; Glomeromycota
Description: SSU rRNA
Rfam family: Eukaryotic small subunit ribosomal RNA
Source: RNAcentral
AGCAGGCGCGCAAAUUACCCAAUCCCGACACGGGGAGGUAGUGACAAUAAAUAACAAUACGGGGUUCUUUAGGAUCUCGUAAUUGGAAUGAGUACAAUUUAAAUCUCUUAACGAGGAACAAUUGGAGGGCAAGUCUGGUGCCAGCAGCCGCGGUAAUUCCAGCUCCAAUAGCGUAUAUUAAAGUUGUUGCAGUUAAAAAGCUCGUAGUUGAAUUUCGGGGUUAGNAGGUUGGUCAUGCCUCUGGUAUGUACUGGUCUCACUGAUUCCUCCUUCCUGAUGAACCGUAAUGCCAUUAAUUUGGUGUUGCGGGGAAUUUGGACUGUUACUUUGAAAAAAUUAGAGUGUUUAAAGCAAGCUAACGCUUGAAUACAUUAGCAUGGAAUAAUGAAAUAGGACGUUCGAUCCUAUUUUGUUGGUUUCUAGGAUUGACGUAAUGAUUAAUAGGGAUAGUUGGGGGCAUUAGUAUUCAAUUGUCAGAGGUGAAAUUCUUGGAUUUAUUGAAGACUAACUACUGCGAAAGCAUUUGCCAAGGAUGUUUUCAUUAAUCAAGAACGAAAGUUAGGGGAUCGAAGACGAUCAGAUACCGUCGUAGUCUUAACCAUAAACUAUGCCGACUAGGGAUCGGAUGAUGUUAAUUUUUUAAUGACUCAUUCGGCGCCUUACGGGAAACCAAAGUGUUUGGGUU